Peromyscus maniculatus bairdii (prairie deer mouse) is the source of this 1774-nucleotide non-coding RNA. The record is from RefSeq and is a predicted model, not a curated record. Lineage: Eukaryota; Metazoa; Chordata; Mammalia; Rodentia; Cricetidae.
CUGUGGCACUUAGUCUCAGAGAGUCUUGUGAAAGCUGAAAGAGAUCGAAGGCUUUGGUGACUCUCAAGCCCCGGACAUUUUCAAGUUUAUUAGUGUCUUUUCUAUAUUAACUUUGCUUUGUUUUUGCUGCUGUUGUUUUAUAUUUUAUUUAUCUGCCUUAUGUGUCUUUGUGUGUCUGUGUGGACAUGCAUGCCACAGCACACAUGUGGCAGUCAGGGGACAACUUUUGGAAGUAGCUUCUCUCCUUUCACCAUAUGGGUUUUGGGGAUUGUAAUUAAUCAGGUCUGUGAGCUUGGCAGCCCACUCUUACCCAUGGAGCCGUCUUGCUGGUUCUAUUCCGGUUUUUCUGAGAAGUUCUCUCAGAAUAGCCCAGAUUAGGCUGGAAUGUGCGAUUCUCCUGCCUCAGCCUCCCAGGCGCUGAAAUGACAGAUGUGCUCAAAUGUAAGGUGGUUUGUGCAGGUGUCACAGCGUCCUGGAAACGACCCUUGGAGAGGGGAGAAUGAAAACUCAGUUCUCAGAACUGGAUCAGACUUCGGGAGUCUGGGGCCAGGCCGUUUAUUGCCAGCACAUUUAAACACAGCACAGUUUGGAAAAAGUUUCCUGGUGUAAUAUAAUCUCUGCAAAAUUACACUGAAACUCAACUCAAAGCUGCCAUUUCUUCCAAGAAGAUGGGUUCUAGAGAUAGGCUACCUGUACUAGCUUAAGGGCCUAGAGAAGGGACCUGGCCUGGUCUUAGUCAUACUGAUUGGGCAGUUAGCCACGUCUGGUCCUAAUUGUGGGAACUUGGUAUGGCCUGGCCUUCAGAUAAUGCAGGUCACCAGGUUGUUAGCACCGCCAGGUCCCAGCCUUCUGAACAGGAAAACAGGUUACAUAGCUUUUGCUUCCCAAGGGCAAUCCUGCAUGCUUAACAUUCCCGGUUUCCCUGGAGAGCUGUGGGUCAAGGCCCUUCCUGCUCCCAAUAUUUAGAUUUUUGGGUGUUUUUUGUUUGUUUGUUUGUUUUGUUGUUGUUGUUUUGUGUUUGGUGAUUAUAAUUGACAACUGAACCUUAUGAGAAAAAGCAGCAGAAAGUAAAAAGGAAAAUAUUGUCUCCUGUAGUGCUAAUCAAGGAGUGAAAUGAAAGUUUUGGUGUUUUUAUUAAUACUUCAUGGACACACACACACACACACCAGCUUAAAGAUAUUGGCAGGGACUAGAGAGAUUGCUCAGUGGUUAAGAGCACUGGAUUCGAGGGGCCCGCAACUGGAUCAGGCCCUCUGAAUAGGACAGGAAGUCAAGCCAGUGAGAACAAAGCUGGGCACUGAAUGCAGCCUGAAAGCCAAGCUGAGUAAGACCUCUGAAGUCAUCAGACAGGACCCCAACUGUCUGCCCUACACUGACCAUUUAGACACACAUAAACACGGGAAAAUGCCACACAGCAUUGGAGAGAGGCCUUUGAGCUACAGAAGACGCGUCCACAAACCAAGGGAUUCCAAGGAUUGCCAGAACCUAGGAGAAAAUCAUGGAACAGAUGGUUCUUCCAAGCUUGAAGAAGGAACUAAUCUCACCGACACCUUGGUUUCAGACUUCUAAUCCCCUGAACUGUGAGAAUGUUUGAAAUAACUCAUCGUGAGGCACUUUCUUACAGCAGCCCUGGGAAACCCAUCUAAAACCGCUGAUGAUGAUGUCUUCACUGUGUUGAAUAAAAAGGUACCAGGCUCCUCCUGAACAUUUUGUGACCUGGAGGAUCCAAAGUUAAGGCCAACCUGGGCUGCGUGAAACCUUGUCUCUACACAGA